GGUAAUAGUGAGCCUCCCAUAACCCGCUACGAGCUUUCUUUGAAAACUCCCGGAUUCCAUCUUGAGGGAUAUGGAAUUUGCCAAAAAUGGUGGGUGGUGUCAUUCGGUUUAAAGACCCGAAUCGUUUGACUUAAUCGACAAUCAAACUAAUUAUUUUAUUGUUUAUGUAUUUAGAUAUGGUUGGAAGCACACUUGCGAAAAUACGCGACAAACAUUGCCUAGAGGGGCACAAUUUCCCAUCGUGGUAACGUAAUGUCAAGAUUCU
This 265-nucleotide long non-coding RNA is filed under the name Malus domestica (apple). RNAcentral's name for it is "long non-coding RNA (MDOM_LNC018875)". The record is from RNAcentral. Lineage: Eukaryota; Viridiplantae; Streptophyta; Magnoliopsida; Rosales; Rosaceae.